Long non-coding RNA from Sus scrofa (pig), 5542 nucleotides. RefSeq lists it as uncharacterized. The record is from RefSeq and is a predicted model, not a curated record. Lineage: Eukaryota; Metazoa; Chordata; Mammalia; Artiodactyla; Suidae.
UCAAUGGACAUUAAUGGCUUCAGUGUCUUAAGAGAAAGGAAUAGUAGCUUAAGUUAUAAAGAGCAUUUGUACUUCCUAUUUCUGCAAGGCAUUGGAUUUUUGACUAGUAUGACACACGACCUCUCAGUACAGGCCAAAGUGUUAGAAGACAUAUUUUGAGUCAGCUGUACUGAAGGAAUAAAUUGAUCUAUUGAUCUACUAAUCACACAAGAUGUGUGCCAUUAGAGUCCAAGAUCUAAUAAAGAUCAAGUCAGUGUCCUUUUACUUAUAGCCAAUAUUUAAACCCACAAAGACACAAAGGACAAUAAGAGAUAUGUUUUAAAUGUUGGUUUAGUGAAUGCAUUGCUCUAGAUCACACCUGAUAAGUGGCAGAAAUAUUAGAAAAUAGGAAUUUUUUUAAUCCCUAAAAUACCUAAACAGGUAUUGUUUUGGAGGAGGGAUUCUAGGGCUCAGAUCAUAUGUAGAAUGAGUAGAAUUAGGAAUAAUAACUUAGGCAGGUGACAUAUGCAAGGUAUAAGGAGACUGCUUCUUCAUAAUAAGAUACAUCCAUUCUACUUGUGGCUAUUUGCCUGCUAACAGUGGAUUAGAAAGCAUGGUGAACAAAGGGUCCAAAAGCGUUGGUUCACAAAAACUGAUGUACAUCCAAACACCAGGAAAUCUGUACAAAUUACUGAUGCGUGGUUCCUACAACGCUCUGAGUUAUUUGCGAUGGAGUGCUACAAGAGUAUCAGGCUUAAACUCUUCUUAAGCUAUUCUAAUUACAACAAAUUUCCACAAUUACUGGGAUGAAGUCUAACAAAACAUUCAUGAUCUGGUUUGCAUGGUUGCAGAGUCCUUUCGUGUAUUACCUCUGCUACCAUCCUCAACUGGAAAUCCAAGCAGAAGUACCCAAAUGAAGACUCCCAGUGGGUUUCACUUUGGAGCACCUGACCCUCCUCUUCUCUCUUUCUGACCUUCUCUACCUCUCUGGCUUGAAGGUGGCCUUUUUCUUUCCAGUCCCACAGCAAUUGUUCUAGCAGAGACCCUGAAGUGAAGUUUGCAGGGUUGGGUAUUAUGCCUUUCACUCAAAGACCUCGAAACUGGAGCUCUGUCAGGAUGCAGAGCCUCCGGGUUCAGAUUUCUCUUCCCUUGCACCAUCAAUAUUGAUCAGUGACUUCCUAAAAUGCCCAAGUGCCUUAUCAGUUCCAGAAGUUGCUAUCCUAAACUUCAUCCUAAAGUUCACUGCACCAAAGGGGGGAAUUACGGAAAGACUGGGCGUGACAUCAGAGUUUUACAUGUUCCCCCAUUAGCUUUGGGGCACUGUCUCUAUAGGUCAUGUCCUGGGUGGCCAUAGGAACCACAAGGCCAGGUUUCUUCAUGAAAUCUUUCUUGAUCUCUCUCCAUCAGAUGGGAUUUCUCCUCAAUUUGAGCCUUCAGAAAACUUGACUAAUCCAGCUGCAGCACAGCCCAGCAUAGUCUAGGCUCAAGGGUAUUAGAAAGCGAAGAAAUCUUGGGUUACAUUCCAUCCACUCUCCUUAUUCACACUGUGACUUUGAGUAGGUUGCUUAUCCUUUCUGAGACAAGGUUCUUUUUUUUUUUUUCCACAGUUUUCCUUGUUGAGGGGGGUGGGGUACUACACAUGGUGCAUGUCUGGUAUGCACCUCAGUGCCUGGGACAUAUUAGACAUGUGAUAAAUAAUACCAAUUCUUUUACUUUUUUAUGGGCCAAAUUACAUUUUGCCUUAUCCUAUGGUCAAAGACUUCCUGGAGUUCCCACUGUGGCACAGUGGGUUAGGAAUCUGACUGCAGCAGCUCAGGUAGCUGCGGAAGCCACAGCUUUGGCUCAGAUUUGAUCCCUGGCACAGCAACUUCCAUAUGCCAUGGGUACAGCCAUUAGACAGACAAACACACACCUCUUGGAUAUGCUUUUUGUAUGAUGAAUUCCACUAAGAAAUGCACUACAUCUUCAUUUUUUAAAUAAAUUGCAGUACAGACCUAGGCAUUUAGGAGACAUUCAUUUAUAAAUAUCCUAUUUAUUUAAAUUAAAGAAAUAUUGACGAGUGUAACCUUGUUGGGUUGAUUUUGACAUAUCAGUGAUACCUUUCUAGAUUGAGGGCAAUGCAGUAUAUAUAUGAAUCCCACAGAUGACACUCAAGUAUUAUUGAAAAAUUUAAGGUAUAUACAGUGGGAUGAUACUUAGAUUGCUGCUACAGAGGAAAGAACUGAAACCAAGUUGGGGUGAUAGUAAUGAUAUUUCUGCAGGGAGCUGUCCCCCCUUUCAGCUGUCAUACCAGCCUCUUAGAGAACAAAGCUUCUGUCCUUACAGCCUCUUAGGGAACAAAGCAUGGGCAUGCAAGGACAAAGAGAAAAGUGACAGGGGGCUAGGCUCUAAUUCUCCAGUUACCUUAACUCAUAGCUCCCACAUUAUAUAAAAGUCAAGAAGUUAGUAACAGGCUACUCAUUCUUAGAUUAAAAAUGUAACUGUGUAAUAGAGCUUUGCCAAAGGGGAUCGCCACAUUGUUCUAUAGAUAAGGCCUUUCCCCACAGUGCCACUAAUAGAAAAUAAAUGAAUCGGUGAAAGGUAUGAGUUUAAAAAUUCACGAAAUAUUGCUUCAAAAAAAUCUUAGCUGAGAAGGAAACCCUGUGUGAAAAAAUAUAUAUGAAAUCCAAAAGCAUGGAACUUUUCCACGGACUUAACCGUAAUGAUUAGCUUCAAUAUAACCUACUUUCUAGUAAGACUCUUACCCAUUUGUUGCACAAUUCUUGUUUUCCAGGAAGGUAGCUGACUAAAUAUCAUCUUUGUUUCAUUGAGCAUGACACUCAUAUUUGAUGCUAGUCACCGACUUAAGACCUUGAAUUUUUAUAAGCACCAUAGCUUUUGUUUGGAAAGUAACGAUUCAGUUCUAGGUACGAUACAAGCAACUCCAGUAAUUUACAUUUGUCAGUACUUGCACAUUAUGUUUUUCUAUUGACCCAACUCAGGUAUUACAUGAGAAAAAGAAAGCAGUAAAAAUGCUAUCCUUAUUAGAAUGCUGUAAUCUAGACUUGUCAGUACCUAGAAUUCUAAAUUAUUUGUCCCAAUAUUCCUUCAUGCAUAAUACGCAUAGUAAAAUAGGUACUUUAAAGAGUUUAAAACUAUUGCAUAGAAUAGCCGAAAAUACUAGGAAGACCUUUGGUGGAAUACGAUAAGUAUUAAAAACAACCAACCCCCCAAAUCAGUAUCUCAGCUGGCUCAGUAAACUUAUCUAACCUCUAGAAAAAUGCACUGAAAACGAAUUUAAUGAAUGGUCCACUUGCACGUAUUGGAAUGAAAGGAAAAAAAGUUUAGAAUUUAAGAGUUCUUUACAACCCUAUUCUGUAAAACUUUAAAUUGUAUUUACAAAUAGCUUGAUGGGCAUAACUAUUUGUUCUAGCCAAUUCCAUAAAAAUACACAGUUUAAUUUUAAGCCUUUCAUUAUUGGCAUGUUUGUGUGCUGAUCUUUACACUACAUUGUUAAAAAUGACCUUUUAAAAAGAUCAUAAUCCUGUUUUAAACCUCCAAAAGUACAUUAUCACAUGCCUUCACUCAAAAGAAACCUGCCCUGCCGGAGAAACCUUGAAAUCUACAAUGAGCAGUUAAGUUGUUCUCCUCUGUCGCCUCCCUUUUCCACCAAAGCUCAGCUACCAGCUUCCUUGGUUUUAAGGCUGAGCUGAAAGUUUAUAUAUACUAAAGCCUCCAGUUGGGAAAGCCCUCGGUGGCCAAUCAGGACUCCCCGAUCUAUUGCGUCACUACUCCCCCCUGGGUGUGACGUCAAAGGCAAUCCCAGGCCAACCACGUGGGUUGGAGGCGUGUACGGGAGACACCCAGCAGCAAGGGUCCCCAAGGGCGUGGAACCCGGCAGGGUGGAGCCAACAGAGCUCCUACACCCACCUUCUGGGAUCAGGGCUGUAGCAGCUCGCUAGAGCCAGAGGCGCGUGAGGUCGGUGACUCUCAAGUACUUAGCGCGGGGGUUUGGCGGAUGGAGGGAGUGGCCGCGGGAAGCUGGCACCUAAAGCUCUGUAAUAGGACCCGGGUCUUGUAAACCCUCCUUCCCAGGCACCGCCUCUCAGCUCCCAGCCCCUCUUUCCAGACUUAAUUAUCCCUUCAGAGCCAUUUCCCCUCGGCUGCGUAUCCUUGGCCGGAGGAAAAGCCUCUCGCCUCCCAGUCCUCGCCCUCACACAGACCCUCCUUUCAGACCCGCCCUCCAGUUCACAGGGACCCAUUUCGUAGCCCUCGCUCACGCAGGGCGGGAACCACCGUGACGAAUUCCGCCCAAGGUGUUGAUUAUCCAUCCCAACCUAGCCUCUGGCUCGCCUCCCGCAGUCACCCUGGCUCCUGCAGCGCCCCCUCAACACACACAUCCCCAUUCCCCGCAGGGCGCUUGGGACGGCACCCCCAAAUCCCCCGCCACUGAUGCCCGGCUCUGCAGCUGCAGAAAAGAGGCGCCAGCGUGCUCGGUGCCACGUCGGAAUUGGCUCCUGGGACGCUGCAGCUGCCUGCGCGACCUCGUGGUCCCCACGCACGCCCUGCCCCCGGGCGGCCCGCGAGCCGCGGAGGAGCCAAGAGCAGGGAUGCGCGCCCUCCCUCCCGCUCGGGUCUCCAAGAGCAGGGACCCCUGGCCACAGUAAGGCUUCCGGAGCUGGGCUGAGCCGGGACAGACCCAGCUGACACUUUAAUGGGGUGCAAGGAGUGCAAAGAAGGGGAGGCCAGGGAAAGAAGAGGAGUGGCGGAGCGAGGCCGGUAGCUGCAAGGAGGUGGCGAAGGACCCUCCUUCCCUGGGGCCGGAGUUGGGACCCCGGAUCGCCUUAACCCUUUGCAUUCCAAUGGAAAUUCUUGUCUCCCAACGCGUGAGCCUCUCUGCAGCUCCGGAAGAUGUGGGAUGGAAAAGUACAUCCCGGGCCGGGCAGCCUUUCCCAGGCAAAGAAGUUACCUGUGUUCCCAGAAAGGCAACGGAUUUCUGGCGAGCGCGCAGGGCUGGGAGAAGACAGCGGCUAUGUUGCUAAGGCUGACAGCGAUGUGAAAUGUCGUCUGGUUUUCAGGGUGAUGGAAAUUUUCAGACCUCAAACUUUUCUGUCGAAAGCUGACUUAAAUGUUUUUAACACUUAUGUGAAUAAUGUCCUCCCUGUCCCUGGCCUGUUCGAGGACCCUCAGCGUUCACCGAAUCGCGCCAGUGCAACGUACCUUGUUCAGUUCUUGGUCAUAAAGUUGUCCUCAGCCUGUCUGUGUGGUCCCGGAGGGUCGGUGGCGGGCAGUUUCCAAAACUGAGGUAAUAGGAGAUCAGAUGAAUUUGAGGCGACCGGCCAAAAAAAAUAAAAAAUUUAAAAACAACAUUUAAAAUGAAUAGGGGAAUCUUAAAUCUUUAGGUUCCCCCCAAUUAAAAAAAAAAUCACUGGUAUGUUUUCUUAAUAUUUCCGUUGCACUUCAAUCUUCUAACUCUUAAAAGAAAAUUUUGUCUGUGCUUUAAAAAUAAAUGAACUUUAUUUUUUGCUCUUGUUCCCCUCUUCUAAUAUCGGAAAGUCUUUUUUGUAUUAAAAAAAAAAAAAAA